RNAcentral lists this ribosomal RNA (952 nucleotides) under uncultured Neocallimastigales. Its description in RNAcentral is "partial large subunit ribosomal RNA". The stretch from base 157 to 952 matches the Rfam family "Eukaryotic large subunit ribosomal RNA", at positions 1 to 643 of the family's 3401-position model. Lineage: Eukaryota; Fungi; Neocallimastigomycota; Neocallimastigomycetes; Neocallimastigales. The record is from RNAcentral.
GUACACGCUGUGACUAGCAUAUCAAUAAGCGGAGGAAAAGGUACCUACGCUUAGGAUGUUGACACACGCGCGUGCUCGGCUCUAUACAUGACUCUGUGCAUAUCAAUAAGCGGAGGAAAAGCGCAUUAAAGGUCCAGAUACCUACGCUUAGGAUGUUGACACACGCGCGUGCUCGACUCUAUACAUGACUCUGUGCAUAUCAAUAAGCGGAGGAAAAGAAACUAACAAGGAUUCCCUUAGUAACGGCGAGUGAAGCGGGAAGAGCUCAAAUUUGAAAUCUUCAAGGUUUUACCUUGACGAAUUGUAGUUUAAAGAAGUGUUUUCUGUUGAAGUUUUGGUAAAAGUUCUUUGGAAUAGGACAUCAUAGAGGGUGAGAAUCCCGUAUUUGACCAUUAUUUUCAGCUGUGUGAUACACUUUCAAAGAGUCGGAUUGUUUGGGAAUGCAGUCCAAAAUGGGUGGUAAAUUUCAUCUAAAGCUAAAUAUUGGCGAGAGACCGAUAGCGAACAAGUACCGUGAGGGAAAGAUGAAAAGAACUUUGAAAAGAGAGUUAAACAGUACGUGAAAUUGUCAAAAGGGAAGCGUUUGACACCAGUGUUGUUUUUCCGAAAAUCAAUUAUAAAUGUUUUGUUUCUGAGGAGUGAUGACUUCAUCGGCUUCCUUCUCUCUUCACGAAACUUUUGUAAUGCACUUUUCGGUUAACAAGUCAACAUCAAUUUCUUUUGUUGUAAAAGAGUAUUCGGAAGGUGGCUUUCUUUUCGGAGAAAGUGUUUAUAGCCCUAUACUUCUACAAUCGGAGAGAUUGAGGUCUGCAGCGUAGAUCCUUCGGGGUUAGAUACACUUGUGCUAAGUUAUAGCUUUUCAUAGACAACUUGUUGACUAUGUUUAGUCUUGUAGCUUACUCGCUUGUGCUAUUUUACCUACGCUUAGGAUGUUGACACACGCGCGUGCUCG